Protopterus annectens (West African lungfish) is the source of this 504-nucleotide long non-coding RNA. RefSeq lists it as uncharacterized. NCBI's taxonomy places the organism in Eukaryota, Metazoa, Chordata, Ceratodontiformes, Protopteridae. The record is from RefSeq and is a predicted model, not a curated record. The transcript has 3 exons.
UGUCUAUCCCUCACCGCGUGGCACCCAGGGCACACUCAGAUAAGGACCUAUUCCCAGUGUGGGCUCCAAUUUAAACAGUUAAAAUUGAACAGAGAAUUUGUACCUUUGAAAAGGGACACUAGGGAAACCCCCUGUCUAUCCCUCACCGCGUGGCACCCAGGGCACACUCAGAUAAGGACCUAUUCCCAGUGUGGGCUCCAAUUUAAACAGUUAAAAUUGAACAGAGAAUUUGUACCUUUGAAAAGGGACACUAGGGAAACCCCCUGUCUAUCCCUCACCGCGUGGCACCCAGGGCACACUCAGAUAAGGACCUAUUCCCAGUGUGGGCUCCAAUUUAAACAGUUAAAAUUGAACAGAGAAUUUGUACCUUUGAAAAGGGACACUAGGGAAACCCCCUGUCUAUCCCUCACCGCGUGGCACCCAGGGCACACUCAGAUAAGGACCUAUUCCCAGUGUGGGCUCCAAUUUAAACAGUUAAAAUUGAACAGAGAAUUUGUACCUUUG